UCUAACAUGUGCGCGAGUCAUUGGGUUNUUGACGAAAACCUAAAGGCGCAAUGAAAGUAAAGUAUUCGAUUACUUCGGUGGUCCGAGGGAAGAUGGAGUUUGUCAAGUUUGUUCUGAUCCUAUUCGGAGGUGAGGUCGGUCUUGGAAACUUGAUCCGAGUCAAUUUGGCAAAGGAUACUCCCGCACUCCCAGGGCGUCUCGUUCUCAYUGGGAGAUGAGGCGCACCUAGAGCGUACACGUUGGGACCCGAAAGAUGGUGAACUAUGCCCGGCCAGGACGAAGUCAGGGGAAACCCUGAUGGAGGUCCGAAGCGAUUCUGACGUGCAAAUCGAUCGUCGGAGCUAGGUAUAGGGGCGAAAGACUAA
RNAcentral lists this ribosomal RNA (365 nucleotides) under Lepisma sp. WCW-2001. Its description in RNAcentral is "LSU rRNA". It matches the Rfam family "Eukaryotic large subunit ribosomal RNA", at positions 674 to 934 of the family's 3401-position model. The record is from RNAcentral. Lineage: Eukaryota; Metazoa; Arthropoda; Insecta; Zygentoma; Lepismatidae.